RNAcentral lists this ribosomal RNA (1919 nucleotides) under Salmonella enterica subsp. enterica serovar Typhi str. CT18. RNAcentral describes it as "partial 23S ribosomal RNA". It matches the Rfam family "Bacterial large subunit ribosomal RNA", at positions 1 to 1834 of the family's 2925-position model. Lineage: Bacteria; Pseudomonadati; Pseudomonadota; Gammaproteobacteria; Enterobacterales; Enterobacteriaceae. The record is from RNAcentral.
GGGUUGUGAGGUUAAGCGACUAAGCGUACACGGUGGAUGCCCUGGCAGUCAGAGGCGAUGAAGGGCGUGCUAAUCUGCGAUAAGCGCCGGUAAGGUGAUAUGAACCGUUAUAACCGGCGAUACCCGAAUGGGGAAACCCAGUGUGAUUCGUCACACUAUCAUUAACUGAAUCCAUAGGUUAAUGAGGCGAACCGGGGGAACUGAAACAUCUAAGUACCCCGAGGAAAAGAAAUCAACCGAGAUUCCCCCAGUAGCGGCGAGCGAACGGGGAGGAGCCCAGAGCCUGAAUCAGCAUGUGUGUUAGUGGAAGCGUCUGGAAAGGCGCGCGAUACAGGGUGACAGCCCCGUACACAAAAGCGCAUAUGCUGUGAGCUCGAUGAGUAGGGCGGGACACGUGGUAUCCUGUCUGAAUAUGGGGGGACCAUCCUCCAAGGCUAAAUACUCCUGACUGACCGAUAGUGAACCAGUACCGUGAGGGAAAGGCGAAAAGAACCCCGGCGAGGGGAGUGAAAAAGAACCUGAAACCGUGUACGUACAAGCAGUGGGAGCCCCACCACUAAGCCAGUGGUGAACUCCACAUACGCAUCCUUUGCUGAGGAGACGGUUAACGGAGCGAAAGCGACGUUCAACCUCAAAAGAAGCAGAGGGGGCUUAGUGGUGGGGUGACUGCGUACCUUUUGUAUAAUGGGUCAGCGACUUAUAUUCUGUAGCAAGGUUAACUGUAUAGGGGAGCCGGAGGGAAACCGAGUCUUAACCGGGCGUUAAGUUGCAGGGUAUAGACCCGAAACCCGGUGAUCUAGCCAUGGGCAGGUUGAAGGUUGGGUAACACUAACUGGAGGACCGAACCGACUAAUGUUGAAAAAUUAGCGGAUGACCUGUGGCUGGGGGUGAAAGGCCAAUCAAACCGGGAGAUAGCUGGUUCUCCCCGAAAGCUAUUUAGGUAGCGCCUCGUGAAUUCAUCUCCGGGGGUAGAGCACUGUUUCGGCUAGGGGGCCAUCCCGGCUUACCAACCCGAUGCAAACUGCGAAUACCGGAGAAUGUUAUCACGGGAGACACACGGCGGGUGCUAAUGUCCGUCGUGAAGAGGGAAACAACCCAGACCGCCAGCUAAGGUCCCAAAGUCAUGGUUAAGUGGGAAACGAUGUGGGAAGGCCCAGACAGCCAGGAUGUUGGCUUAGAAGCAGCCAUCAUUUAAAGAAAGCGUAAUAGCUCACUGGUCGAGUCGGCCUGCGCGGAAGAUGUAACGGGGCUAAACCAUGCACCGAAGCUGCGGCAGCGACACCGUGUGUUGUUGGGUAGGGGAGCGUUCUGUAAGCCUGUGAAGGUGUGCUGUGAGGCAUGCUGGAGGUAUCAGAAGUGCGAAUGCUGACAUAAGUAACGAUAAAGCGGGUGAAAAGCCCGCUCGCCGGAAGACCAAGGGUUCCUGUCCAACGUUAAUCGGGGCAGGGUGAGUCGACCCCUAAGGCGAGGCCGAAAGGCGUAGUCGAUGGGAAACGGGUUAAUAUUCCCGUACUUGGUGUUACUGCGAAGGGGGGACGGAGAAGGCUAUGUUGGCCGGGCGACGGUUGUCCCGGUUUAAGCGUGUAGGUAUGUGUUCCAGGUAAAUCCGGUUCACUUUAACACUGAGGCGUGACGACGAGGCACUACGGUGCUGAAGCAACAAAUGCCCUGCUUCCAGGAAAAGCCUCUAAGCAUCAGGUAACAUCAAAUCGUACCCCAAACCGACACAGGUGGUCAGGUAGAGAAUACCAAGGCGCUUGAGAGAACUCGGGUGAAGGAACUAGGCAAAAUGGUGCCGUAACUUCGGGAGAAGGCACGCUGACACGUAGGUGAAGUGAUUUACUCACGGAGCUGAAGUCAGCCGAAGAUACCAGCUGGCUGCAACUGUUUAUUAAAAACACAGCACUGUGCAAACACGA